Molecule: ribosomal RNA, 262 nt
Filed under: uncultured bacterium
Lineage: Bacteria
Description: partial 16S ribosomal RNA
Rfam family: Bacterial small subunit ribosomal RNA
Source: RNAcentral
UUAGUGGCGGACGGGUGAGUAACGCGUGGGUAACCUGCCUUAUACAGGGGGAUAACACUUAGAAAUAGGUGCUAAUACCGCAUAAGCGCACGGGGCUGCAUGGCCCAGUGUGAAAAACUCCGGUGGUAUAAGAUGGACCCGCGUCUGAUUAGCUUGUUGGCGGGGUAACGGCCCACCAAGGCGACGAUCAGUAGCCGGCCUGAGAGGGUGGACGGCCACAUUGGGACUGAGACACGGCCCAAACUCCUACGGAAGGCAGCAG